CGACUCUCUGGUCUGUAACUGACGCUGAGGCGCGAAAGCGUGGGGAGCAAACAGGAUUAGAUACCCUGGUAGUCCACGCCGUAAACGAUGAGUGCUAGGUGUUAGGGGUUUCGACGCCCUUAGUGCCGAAGUUAACACAUUAAGCACUCCGCCUGGGGAGUACGACCGCAAGGUUGAAACUCAAAGGAAUUGACGGGGGCCCGCACAAGCAGUGGAGCAUGUGGUUUAAUUCGAAGCAACGCGAAGAACCUUACCAGGUCUUGACAUCCUUUGACCACCCUAGAGAUAGGGCUUUCCCCUUCGGGGGACAAAGUGACAGGUGGUGCAUGGUUGUCGUCAGCUCGUGUCGUGAGAUGUUGGGUUAAGUCCCGCAACGAGCGCAACCCUUGACCUUAGUUGCCAGCAUUCAGUUGGGCACUCUAAGGUGACUGCCGGUGACAAACCGGAGGAAGGUGGGGAUGACGUCAAAUCAUCAUGCCCCUUAUGACCUGGGCUACACACGUGCUACAAUGGAUGGUACAAAGGGUUGCGAAGCCGCGAGGUGAAGCCAAUCCCAGAAAGCCAUUCUCAGUUCGGAUUGCAGGCUGCAACUCGCCUGCAUGAAGCCGGAAUUGCUAGUAAUCGCGGAUCAGCAUGCCGCGGUGAAUACGUUCCCGGGCCUUGUACACACCGCCCGUCACACCACGAGAGUUUGUAACACCCGAAGUCGGUGGGGUAACCCUUUUGGAGCCAGCCGCCUAAGUGGGACAGAUGAUUGGGGUGAAGUCGUAC
This 771-nucleotide ribosomal RNA is filed under the name uncultured Bacillus sp. Its description in RNAcentral is "bacterial SSU rRNA". It matches the Rfam family "Bacterial small subunit ribosomal RNA", at positions 722 to 1491 of the family's 1533-position model. The record is from RNAcentral. Lineage: Bacteria; Bacillati; Bacillota; Bacilli; Caryophanales; Bacillaceae.